UGAAUUUCUUAGCAUUACAAUACUUGCUGGAAAUCAUUCCUGUAAUUACAGUAUGGUGGUCAGCUUCAAGCAUUAUUACUGUAAUUGCUGCAAAUCAUCAUUGUUCAAAUCAUUAGUCAGAUUCAACAUAAUCUUUAGGAUUAGUCAAUUCUUUGGAGUAAAUUACAGUACGGUGAUGUUCAAUAUGAAUUGGAGUAAAUUACAGUACGGUGAUGUUCAAUAUGAAUUGGAGUAAAUUGCU
This 241-nucleotide long non-coding RNA is filed under the name Hordeum vulgare. Its description in RNAcentral is "long non-coding RNA (HVUL_LNC000217)". The record is from RNAcentral. Lineage: Eukaryota; Viridiplantae; Streptophyta; Magnoliopsida; Poales; Poaceae.